ACCCCUUGCUUAAUCCUAGUCGGUUCCAGUGUAUCAGCCAGUUUCAAAGGCCAAUGGCUUGUAUGCCGAGGACCAUAUUCAGGUUCUCAAGUCUGUUACAACAAAAGAAGCUUUCACCGGAGUCAAUAACAGGAGGGUUACUCCUGGCAGGUUGCAUACAAUAGAACAAGCAGCAAAUGGAGAAGGUAGUCGAAACGAUGUCUCUUCCAAAUCACACAGGGAUGACACUAACUUUUCCUUGUUCCAUUUCGGUAUGCCGGUGGCUCUUUCAACAGCAUGCAAAUCUAAUCCCACCCCUCUGAAAGACGAGAUUGCUGGAGAACUUUCAUCUCAAUUUUCAGCAUCUCAGGUUGAAAAUGAUCAUGCUUGCAAUA
Molecule: long non-coding RNA, 374 nt
Organism: Hibiscus syriacus
Lineage: Eukaryota; Viridiplantae; Streptophyta; Magnoliopsida; Malvales; Malvaceae
Exons: 2
Source: RefSeq, a predicted model, not a curated record